Molecule: non-coding RNA, 45 nt
Organism: Schistosoma margrebowiei
Lineage: Eukaryota; Metazoa; Platyhelminthes; Trematoda; Strigeidida; Schistosomatidae
Source: Rfam
AUUAAGCUGACGAGUCCCAAAUAAGACAAAACGCAUGUCCUUAAU